This 91-nucleotide microRNA precursor is filed under the name Populus trichocarpa (black cottonwood). RNAcentral describes it as "MIR478 microRNA precursor family". It matches the Rfam family "MIR478 microRNA precursor family". The record is from Rfam by way of RNAcentral. Lineage: Eukaryota; Viridiplantae; Streptophyta; Magnoliopsida; Malpighiales; Salicaceae.
CUUUUUAGGGUUAAAACGUCAAUAUUUUAGACGAGUCUCCUAGUUAUAGGGACUGAUAUCAUUUUUAACGUUUCUUCUAAUUUUAGAGACC